This 548-nucleotide long non-coding RNA is filed under the name Capra hircus (goat). RNAcentral's name for it is "lncRNA (ENSCHIG00000005637.1)". Lineage: Eukaryota; Metazoa; Chordata; Mammalia; Artiodactyla; Bovidae. The record is from RNAcentral.
CACCAACAGUUAUAUAAAUGGAAAUGAGAGUAAUUAUGAUGUCAUAUUUUGCUAACAUAAUUAGGAACAGUCAAAACUCUGGGCCAGAAAGUUAAAUGCCAAUGAAGAGAAAAACCACUACACCUCUUGGAAAUUAGUUCACUCCUGUUGCAGACAAUCAAAUGGAAAAGGUAGCAAACUACAGCAUCCUCUACAAGUGGCCGUGCGUUUGUGUUUUUUACUGUGCAGUAUGGUGCAGAGUAUGACAGUACAGUAUUUUUAUUUCAAGCCCAGGAUGUCCAGAAGCAAAUGUAAAAGCAGCGGUGAUAUAGCUGGAACUACUGUAUUGUUCAAGAUGUUGUUAUUCUAUGUACAACUGAUCUGUGAAAGGUGCAGCAGAAAGUUUUUCUGGGUCCCCACAUGGAGUGUCACGUGUGGAACAUGUGCGUCAUCAUGCCAACACUCUUCUGCAGCAAAGCGCAGAGUGGAGGUGAGCCACAUACUGAGACCCACUGGGGUGCCUCUUUCUCUCUCAGGAGUCUUUGGUGUUUCCUCUAUACCUGUGAUGC